This is a long non-coding RNA of Oncorhynchus tshawytscha (Chinook salmon), 439 nucleotides long. NCBI's taxonomy places the organism in Eukaryota, Metazoa, Chordata, Actinopteri, Salmoniformes, Salmonidae. The record is from Ensembl.
UGGGGGAAGGAUGGAGAGAUAAAGAUGGGGGGAAGGAUGGAGAGAUAAAGAGUGGGGGAAGGAUGGAGAGAUAAAGAGUGGGGGAAGGAUGGAGAGAUAAAGAGUGGGGGAAGGAUGGAGAGAUAAAGAGUGGGGGAUGGAUGGAGAGAUAAAGAGUGGGGGAUGGAUGGAGAGAUAAAGUGGGGGAAGGAUGGAGAGAUAAAGAGUGGGGGAAGGAUGGAGAGAUAAAGAGUGGGGGAAGGAUGGAGAGAUAAAGAAGUGGGGAAGGGGGUGCUUAGCUAAAAACUUUAGGGCGAAUCAAUCUGGCAGCGAAAGGGGGGAGGACGUAAGAAAGAGGGGAGAAGAAGAAAGAGGAGAAGGGAGGGGGAGGGAUGCGGUAGAGGGAGAGAGGGAUUAUUCACCGUUUCAAAUGAAUAAUUGCGUAUUGUGUGAAUCUGGC